ACAAUCUUAUUAGUUUGUUUUAUGUCUUUACAAAUGUUCAAUUCAUAUGUUUUGUGGAAAGCUGAACUCAAUAUCGUCUAUAAUGUACCACUUCUUUAAAACAUAAGCGAUCAAUAUGUUUGGUUUAAACUUAUUUAUUACGACAUAGUAACAUAUUCACAAGUUACAAGACAUUGACAUAGGAUCAAUAUGUUUCAAUUAUGGUCCUCUUCCAGUUAGAAUAUAACUAUAGUACCUUGACCUUAUUGAAUAUGAACAAUUUCCCCAUGGUGGCUUACUUUAUACUGUCAAGCUCUUGAAUAGUCGAGCGCGCUGUUUUCUGACAGCUCUUGUUGUUUUUCUCAUCGACAUUUCCAUUUUAACAUUUAGUAGCCAAAAGGGUCCAAGUCCCCUUGAUCUCGCAAGAACGUACUGCCAGAAUUACGUUGAUCCACCAGGGUUUGAAGUAAAACCGUCAAUGAUGUCAUAGGCGAAGGAGUCUUUGCCACUAAGCCUUUUAAAAAAGGAGACUUUCUUCUCGAAUACAAAGGGGAUCUGAUAACACGAGUAAAACAUGCACGGCAAUUAGAAAAGGAGUAUGAAAAGGAGGGUCAAGGCAGCUUCAUUUACUUUUUUAAAUACAGAGACAAAUCUUGCUGCACUGACGCUACCAACGAUAUAUUUCAUGAGGGUCGAAUGAUAAAUGAUGCCGAAAAUGGAGACGCAAAACAAUAUUGUGUAAUGAAAAUAGUUGAAGUCAACCAAACUCUCCAUCUAUGCACUUUCGCCGACAGAGACAUUGCAAUUGGCGAGGAACUCCGAUAUGAUUAUGGAGUACCAACACUUCCAUGGAGAAAGGCAACACAAUGACUACUAGAUCUACGGACAGCCAGGAACCAGGACAAACAACAUCCACACACACGGAAGAAGUCAAUGAGACGAAAUGUACGGAACAAAAAAGGGCAACACAAUGACUACUGGAUCUACGGACAGCCAGGGACCAGGACAAACAACAUCCGUACACACGGAAGAAGUCGAUGAGACGAAAAGGGUACUUCAAAUACCAGGAGAACAAAACAAGCAGCCAAAAAGCAAUGGAGUGAAAACGAAAAAGGAGCUGUCCACAGACACUUUGAUCGUUUUUUGAUAAUGGGUAAAUUACCAGGGAAAAAAGAAAUACUUGCAUGUAUUGAAUGUGAGAAUGACCUUCACAACAGAAGUUGGAAAAAUGUCAAAGACUUUUGCAGAAAUUUAAUUGAAACAAAAAAGCGACGAGGACUUUUAACUUAAAAAAAAUAUUACACAUAUAAUGCACGUUUAGGAGAAUACGUUAAAGGAUGAAGUUGCCACAUUUUUUUGUGUUUUCUUGUUCUAUAUACUCUUUUCGAAAACGAUAUAUGUGUGCUUAUUGUAUUUGAAUGUUUUAUUAAUACGGUUCAGUCAAAAACGUUAUUUGUUCAUAAUCAUAUCGCCGAACAAAUUAGGAUUGGUAUAUAGUUCGGCCAAAGAGUGUUUCUUUGUACUUUCUAUGACGAAUUUCUACGAGUUACUCACUAUACAAGUUAUUUUUUACCCUAAACUUGGUGUAUAUAAAUGAAUAUAGCAAACAUGAUAAAAAAUCAAUCUAGAAGGCUAAACGUUCAGAGAAGGCACAACAAAAUUCAGUCGGAUAAAUGGAAACAAACGUUUUGUUCAAGCAUAACAAACAAACACUUUUAGAUGUAAUAAGAUAAAUGUAAAUAACAUAAAAAAACUACUGCUAAACUACUGCUACAAUAUGAAGAAUACAAAUGAAUAUUUUGUCAAUUUUACUAAAUUUGUUUUGAAUGACAGGUGUCUGACUUGCAGUUGAGUACUUAAUAGAUAUUUUAAAGUAAAAAUUUACCAAAAUGUAAAUUAUUGCGUAAAUAUCGCACUAGAAUUGAUUAAAUAGUUGUUAAAUAUUACAAUAAUUUCCAACACAGAUUUGUGUGCAUUUGUUUUGCGUGUAGAUAUUCACAUAAGCUAUCAAUUCACAUAUUUGCUUUGUGUAUAUAAUUGGUAUGUUUAUAUGUUUUUCAUAUCAAAAUUGCUUGAUCUACAAAAAUUCGCGAGGAGUUUUGCAUUUUUUCCCAUGUUUUAAUUGAAGUUUAUAAUUCAACGACGAUGAAAAUUACUAAGAUGCCAGAUUUAGUUAUGUGUUUGUCUCAUUUAUGGUUAAAGAUCAAUUAACAUACCCAUUUCCCAGACUAAGAUAUUGUUAAAACAAUUUAUCGCGUUUGCGACUGACCUCUUUUAUGCAUUCUAACACAAGCUAUUUACUUGUUUUUUUUUCGAAUACUCUUCAUGUACACACACUUGAACAAGCUGUAGAUUACCUAGAACAAAACAUAUUUGAAACAUAUAUUCAUAUGUGAUAUGUAAAUGCAUGCACAAAGCUAAUAAUUUAUCAUGUUUAUACACUUUGCGAUAUGAUGCUAUAAUGUCGGUUGUUUUAAGUGAUUAAUCAUUAUGUUAACCAUGUUAUCUGCCAUCUGGAAUGUAAUUAAGUGUUUUGACAUGUAUGCGAAAUUGAUCGUGUUCGAUUUGGUGCUGUAUAUUCAGAAUUGAGUCACACUGUUAUAA
Dreissena polymorpha is the source of this 2583-nucleotide long non-coding RNA. RefSeq lists it as uncharacterized. The record is from RefSeq and is a predicted model, not a curated record. NCBI's taxonomy places the organism in Eukaryota, Metazoa, Mollusca, Bivalvia, Myida, Dreissenidae. The transcript has 7 exons.